Molecule: long non-coding RNA, 550 nt
Organism: Lycium barbarum (goji berry)
Lineage: Eukaryota; Viridiplantae; Streptophyta; Magnoliopsida; Solanales; Solanaceae
Exons: 3
Source: RefSeq, a predicted model, not a curated record
GGCCUAAAUCUCACAUAAAAGUGAGGAUUGUGAGUGAAAUUUCAAGCUACGAAGUACUAAUCGAAGUCCGGGCAACGCAUAAUCACGAAUAUAAUUUUGUUUGGAGUUAGAGGAGCAUGGGAACAAUAAGAUGUUGAAGGAUUUGCUACUUUCAUAAAAACAAGGUUUUGGACGAAACGGGAUUUGAGUUUUGGCAAGCGUAAAGGGCAAGAAAGGUACAGACUACAGAUUUGCUGACCCACCUGCCUAGGACACCUAUUCUGCUAUUCUGGAGCGCUCUUUUGUCCAGAGCCUAUACUCUGGUACAGUCUGCUGCUGUUGGAUAUAUGUACGCUAUUCAUGGGUACGACGGGGCCCUGUCCUGUCUUAUGUUUCUGUUAUGUUCUGUAGAGGUCUGUAGACAUACAUGUGGGUUCUGUAUAUGUUUUGGGUUGCUAUGAUUUGUGAUAGCCUUAUCGGCUUCCAUGUGUUAUAUAUGUUCCUCUAUGACACUAGUAAUGUCGACUGACUUUUAUAUUUAUAUAAUCUGCUAGUCUGCUGGUUUGGAUUA